AAAUUAAAGGCGAAAACAAGGAACAGUAACACAGAAUUAGUACUGCCAGAGUGUAAGCUAGGAUUCAAAUUAGACCAAUAACAACCCCACUAGCCCCAAUACUUUGAAAACAAUAGUUAACAAAAAAAAUAAUCGAUGAUCUAGGAAGCAUUACAUAUCAUGAAACUAAAAUAUGUUCAUUGAGAUAUGCAUAAUUAUAUAUAUUGGCUCAUGCAGAUUUCUCAGCUUCUGCAGCUGCUUCUUCCUCUUGCAACUUCUUCAAAGAUGGAGGUGGCCUCACAACAAUGCUUUUCUUCCAUUGCCGAUCAAACUUUCUUGACAACCUCUUGUUGAUCCCCUCAUCAAUCUCUCUUUCCCGUUUAACAGUAAGCAUACGAGCAAUCCUUUUGCGCAUGCGGCGGAACUCGCUAGACUUGAACUCAUUGCGCGCCGAUUUCUGAAGCCGAAGC
This 449-nucleotide unclassified non-coding RNA is filed under the name Hevea brasiliensis (rubber tree). Lineage: Eukaryota; Viridiplantae; Streptophyta; Magnoliopsida; Malpighiales; Euphorbiaceae. The record is from RNAcentral.